UGUAGCUGAGACAUCGCCGAGCACACUUUGCGGAUGGUCACGGCCAGGGGAGCGCAGCCUCAGAGGCCAGGGCAGGGUUGCGGGUGGGGGACAGGAGCCCCUGCGGGCACCUCCCGGGGUCAGCAGGGGCUCAGGUCCAGCCGGGCAGCAGGGCUGUCUGCAGCCAGUCCUCCCAGCUCUGCCCACCUGGGUUUGCAGUCUGGUUCCAGGGUGACAGCCAAGUCCUCCUGGAACCCCAGGCUGCCAUCCAGCUGUGCAGGUGAGCCAGGCUUGUCCAGUUCUCUCUUUCCUUCCCUACCCCACCCCUGGCCUCCUCUGGGCAUCACAGACCCCCUGCCAGCCCUUGACCCUCUGCCCCUCCAUCCAAUGAGAGAGCAGCUGACCUAGAGACCCGGCCUGGGCACCCAGCAGCCGUGCUCACAGCAAUGACGCUCCCUCCUGCUGGUGCAGCGCCCGGGACCCUUUGCCUCACCUCCUCCUCCCGCAGCCAUGAGGAACAGGAGGAGCCAGGCCUGAGCCAGAAACGCUCCAGUUCGCCAGUGAUCUUCACCGCUCUGCCUGAUACCUACACAGUGAAUUCUUCACUUUGAUUUUUCUAUUACAGUUGUAGAAUGACCGUUGUGUACUCUGAGACAGUCCCCAGGAUCGUGUUUGCUUCAGUAGGCAUUGGGGACCCAGCAACUCAAGACCUCGGCAGCCCCGCUCUCCAAGAGGAGGCCCCACCCUGCGCCCCCUUCCUUCCCUGCCGUCUUUUGGAUCCACCUGAUACUUUUCCUCACGGCAACUCCCUCCCUAUUAGUUCAGAAGCUGUAGCUACUGCC
This is a long non-coding RNA of Capra hircus (goat), 821 nucleotides long. RefSeq lists it as uncharacterized. The transcript has 3 exons. NCBI's taxonomy places the organism in Eukaryota, Metazoa, Chordata, Mammalia, Artiodactyla, Bovidae. The record is from RefSeq and is a predicted model, not a curated record.